AGACCCGAAACCCGGUGAUCUAGCCAUGGGCAGGUUGAAGGUUGGGUAACACUAACUGGAGGACCGAACCGACUAAUGUUGAAAAAUUAGCGGAUGACCUGUGGCUGGGGGUGAAAGGCCAAUCAAACCGGGAGAUAGCUGGUUCUCCCCGAAAGCUAUUUAGGUAGCGCCUCGUGAAUUCAUCUCCGGGGGUAGAGCACUGUUUCGGCUAGGGGGCCAUCCCGGCUUACCAACCCGAUGCAAACUGCGAAUACCGGAGAAUGUUAUCACGGGAGACACACGGCGGGUGCUAACGUCCGUCGUGAAGAGGGAAACAACCCAGACCGCCAGCUAAGGUCCCAAAGUCAUGGUUAAGUGGGAAACGAUGUGGGAAGGCCCAGACAGCCAGGAUGUUGGCUUAGAAGCAGCCAUCAUUUAAAGAAAGCGUAAUAGCUCACUGGUCGAGUCGGCCUGCGCGGAAGAUGUAACGGGGCUAAACCAUGCACCGAAGCUGCGGCAGCGAACGUAUCACUUAAAGCGAUUCAGCGGGUUACGAUUGACGGAGCGAAGCGACGUCAAAGCGUAUACAAAGUCGAGUCGGUUUAAGGAUACGUUCGUUGGGUAGGGGAGCGUUCUGUAAGCCUGUGAAGGUGGCCUGUGAGGGUUGCUGGAGGUAUCAGAAGUGCGAAUGCUGACAUAAGUAACGAUAAAGCGGGUGAAAAGCCCGCUCGCCGGAAGACCAAGGGUUCCUGUCCAACGUUAAUCGGGGCAGGGUGAGUCGACCCCUAAGGCGAGGCCGAAAGGCGUAGUCGAUGGGAAACAGGUUAAUAUUCCUGUACUUGGUGUUACUGCGAAGGGGGGACGGAGAAGGCUAUGUUGGCCGGGCGACGGUUGUCCCGGUUUAAGCGUGUAGGCUGGUUUUCCAGGCAAAUCCGGAAAAUCAAGGCUGAGGCGUGAUGACGAGGCACUACGGUGCUGAAGCAACAAAUGCCCUGCUUCCAGGAAAAGCCUCUAAGCAUCAGGUAACAUCAAAUCGUACCCCAAACCGACACAGGUGGUCAGGUAGAGAAUACCAAGGCGCUUGAGAGAACUCGGGUGAAGGAACUAGGCAAAAUGGUGCCGUAACUUCGGGAGAAGGCACGCUGACACGUAGGUGAAGUGAUUUACUCAUGGAGCUGAAGUCAGUCGAAGAUACCAGCUGGCUGCAACUGUUUAUUAAAAACACAGCACUGUGCAAACACGAAAGUGGACGUAUACGGUGUGACGCCUGCCCGGUGCCGGAAGGUUAAUUGAUGGGGUCAGCGCAAGCGAAGCUCCUGAUCGAAGCCCCGGUAAACGGCGGCCGUAACUAUAACGGUCCUAAGGUAGCGAAAUUCCUUGUCGGGUAAGUUCCGACCUGCACGAAUGGCGUAAUGAUGGCCAGGCUGUCUCCACCCGAGACUCAGUGAAAUUGAACUCGCUGUGAAGAUGCAGUGUACCCGCGGCAAGACGGAAAGACCCCGUGAACCUUUACUAUAGCUUGACACUGAACAUUGAGCCUUGAUGUGUAGGAUAGGUGGGAGGCUUUGAAGUGUGGACGCCAGUCUGCAUGGAGCCGGCCUUGAAAUACCACCCUUUAAUGUUUGAUGUUCUAACGUGGACCCGUAAUCCGGGUUGCGGACAGUGUCUGGUGGGUAGUUUGACUGGGGCGGUCUCCUCCUAAAGAGUAACGGAGGAGCACGAAGGUUGGCUAAUCCUGGUCGGACAUCAGGAGGUUAGUGCAAUGGCAUAAGCCAGCUUGACUGCGAGCGUGACGGCGCGAGCAGGUGCGAAAGCAGGUCAUAGUGAUCCGGUGGUUCUGAAUGGAAGGGCCAUCGCUCAACGGAUAAAAGGUACUCCGGGGAUAACAGGCUGAUACCGCCCAAGAGUUCAUAUCGACGGCGGUGUUUGGCACCUCGAUGUCGGCUCAUCACAUCCUGGGGCUGAAGUAGGUCCCAAGGGUAUGGCUGUUCGCCAUUUAAAGUGGUACGCGAGCUGGGUUUAGAACGUCGUGAGACAGUUCGGUCCCUAUCUGCCGUGGGCGCUGGAGAACUGAGGGGGGCUGCUCCUAGUACGAGAGGACCGGAGUGGACGCAUCACUGGUGUUCGGGUUGUCAUGCCAAUGGCACUGCCCGGUAGCUAAAUGCGGAAGAGAUAAGUGCUGAAAGCAUCUAAGCACGAAACUUGCCCCGA
RNAcentral lists this ribosomal RNA (2190 nucleotides) under Salmonella enterica subsp. enterica serovar Newport. Its description in RNAcentral is "partial 23S ribosomal RNA". It matches the Rfam family "Bacterial large subunit ribosomal RNA", at positions 711 to 2802 of the family's 2925-position model. Lineage: Bacteria; Pseudomonadati; Pseudomonadota; Gammaproteobacteria; Enterobacterales; Enterobacteriaceae. The record is from RNAcentral.